This 468-nucleotide ribosomal RNA is filed under the name uncultured bacterium. RNAcentral's name for it is "partial 16S ribosomal RNA". It matches the Rfam family "Bacterial small subunit ribosomal RNA", at positions 28 to 507 of the family's 1533-position model. The record is from RNAcentral.
GACGAACGCUGGCGGCGUGCUUAACACAUGCAAGUCGAACGGAAAGGCCCUGCGUUUGUGGGGUGCUCGAGGGGCGAACGGGGGAGUAACACGUGAGUAACCUGCCCUUGACUUUCGGAUAACUUCAGGAAACUGGGGCUAAUACCGUAUAGGAGCUCCUGCUGCAUGGUGGGGGGGGGAAAGUUUCGGCGGGUGGGGAUGGACUCGCGGGUUAUCAGCUUGUUGGUGGGGUAGUGGCUUACCAAGGCUUUGACGGGUAGCCGGCCUGGGAGGGUGACCGGCCACAUUGGGACUGAGGUACGGACCAGACUGCUACGGGAGGCAGCAGGGGGGAAUAUUGCCCAAUGGGCGGAAGCCUGAUGAAGCAGCGCCGCGUGCGGGAUGACGGCCUUCGGGUUGUAAACCGCUUUCGCCUGUGACGAAGCGUGAGUGACGGUAAUGGGUAAAGAAGCACCGGCUAACUACGUG